CUAUGUUGUGUUCCCCUCCUUCUAGUAUGAUUCUGCCAAAGUGCCAAUAAGUAAGCUACUUUGAGCCUGCUCAAAUUUGUAUUCAACUCCAAGGCUCAUGAGUAGUUUGUUUGUGAAUCGAAUUCGAGCUAGCCCCCAAAGUCGAAUAUGAGCAAUGUAUAGCUUCGAAUACAAAUACUCGAAAACGAAAACGAGCAUAGUAGUUUUCACUCGUAUUCGACUCAUUUUAACCCCUUUCUUAUUGCUUAAAUUUGCUAAAAUCUCCAGGGAAAAAGAAGCAGGGGUAUACAUAUUGAGGGGAUAUCAUCAUGUAUGUAGUGAUUCAAAUCAAAAAAAGAUUCAGUGUGUCAAGUGUGAGCUUUGUGAGCAAAUCACAACACCUAAAUACAUCCUUCUCUUCUCCAAAUAGUAGGGUUCAAAUAACAUUUCCAUAUUAUUAAUAAAACAUUCUCUGUAUAAGGUAAGGUGAAAAGGAAGGAGUCGAUGUUUAGCAACACUUCAAACCCCCUAAUAUUUCCCUCCUUUCUUUUUCUCUCCACCAUCAAAAGUUAAAAUUAAAAUUAAAACUAAAACUAAAUUCUAACAUACUACUCCCUCCACUCCAUCAUUGGAUUCUUCUUCUUCAUCAUCAGACUCUUCAGAUUCGUCUUCAUCUUGUUCAGGGUCCGAUUUUUGGGGAUUGGAUUCUUCAUGUCGAUGCUUUUCUUCUUCAUCGCUGGAGUCUUCCUCUUGUUCUUCUGAUUCAUCAUCAAAUGCAGGAAGAUCAUCAAUUUGAGGGUAUCACUUUGGUGCCAUAGUCGCUUGGGGUUCUUAAGAGAUGGGGAUUGGGAGAGACAGAGUAGGGUUUUAGCGUUGUUAUUAGAAAAAAAAAAAAAGAAAAGAUAAAUAUAUA
Molecule: long non-coding RNA, 892 nt
Filed under: Panax ginseng (ginseng)
Lineage: Eukaryota; Viridiplantae; Streptophyta; Magnoliopsida; Apiales; Araliaceae
Description: long non-coding RNA (PGIN_LNC014614)
Source: RNAcentral